RNAcentral lists this ribosomal RNA (440 nucleotides) under uncultured bacterium. RNAcentral's name for it is "partial 16S ribosomal RNA". It matches the Rfam family "Bacterial small subunit ribosomal RNA", at positions 338 to 795 of the family's 1533-position model. The record is from RNAcentral.
CCUACGGGUGACAGCAGUGGGGGAUAUUGCACAAUGGGGGAAACCCUGAUGCAGCGACGCCGCGUGGGUGAAGAAGCGCCUCGGCGCGUAAAGCCCUGUCAGCCGGGAAGCAAAUGACGGUACCUGAAGAAGAAGCCCCGGCUAACUACGUGCCAGCAGCCGCGGUAAUACGUGGGGGGCAGGCGUUAUCCGGAUUUACUGGGUGUAAAGGGGGGGCGGACGGCGUUGCAAGCCAGGAGGGAAAGCUCGGGGCCCAACCCCGGGACUGCUGUUGGAACUGCGUGGCUAGAGUGCAGGAGGGGCAUGCGGAAUGCGUGGUGUAGCGGUGAAAUGCGUAGAUAUCAGGAGGAACACCGGUUGCGAAGGCGGCCUGCUGGACUGCAACUGACGUUGAGGCCCGAAAGCGUGGGUAGCGAACAGGAUUAGAUACCCCUGUAGUC